AAAAACUUUCAACAACGGAUCUCUUGGUUCCAGCAUCGAUGAAGAACGCAGCGAAAUGCGAUAAGUAAUGUGAAUUGCAGAAUUCAGUGAAUCAUCGAAUCUUUGAACGCACAUUGCGCCCCUCGGUAUUCCGGGGGGCAUGCCUGUUCGAGCGUCAUUAC
Molecule: ribosomal RNA, 161 nt
Filed under: Neuropogon sphacelatus
Lineage: Eukaryota; Fungi; Ascomycota; Lecanoromycetes; Lecanorales; Parmeliaceae
Also listed under: 9 other names
Description: 5.8S ribosomal RNA
Rfam family: 5.8S ribosomal RNA
About the family: 5.8S ribosomal RNA (5.8S rRNA) is a component of the large subunit of the eukaryotic ribosome.
Source: RNAcentral